Selaginella moellendorffii is the source of this 191-nucleotide long non-coding RNA. RefSeq lists it as uncharacterized. Lineage: Eukaryota; Viridiplantae; Streptophyta; Lycopodiopsida; Selaginellales; Selaginellaceae. The record is from RefSeq and is a predicted model, not a curated record. The transcript has 2 exons.
CGACGAUCCAGCGAUUGCUAGCGAUGGAGAAGAGUUCCUUGGCCAUUGCUAGCGCCAUUGCUGCCAGCUUUGUGGACCGCACAAGUCCAUGUGACGCUCUGACUCGAGCCGUCGCUUGCUCUUUGAAAUGGCAAGCUUCUUCAAGCAGAGAGUUUAACAUAAACUUGGCAAUAACGUAGUUUCGUGGCUAA